This 251-nucleotide ribosomal RNA is filed under the name uncultured bacterium. RNAcentral's name for it is "partial small subunit ribosomal RNA". It matches the Rfam family "Bacterial small subunit ribosomal RNA", at positions 26 to 285 of the family's 1533-position model. The record is from RNAcentral.
AGAGUGAACGCUGGCGGCAGGCCUAACACAUGCAAGUCGAGCGGCAGCGCAGCGGUAGCAAUACUGUGGGCGGCGAGCGGCGGACGGGUGAGGAACACAUCGGAAUCUACCCUGUCGUGGGGGACAACGUAGGGAAACCGGGGCUAAUACCGCAUAAUAUCGAGAGAUCAAAGGAGCAAUUCGCUUAAGGAGGGGGUCGCGGCUGAUUAGCUAGUUGGUAGGGUAAUGGCCUACCAAGGCUAUGAUCAGUA